Anoplophora glabripennis (Asian longhorned beetle) is the source of this 548-nucleotide long non-coding RNA. RefSeq lists it as uncharacterized. The transcript has 2 exons. NCBI's taxonomy places the organism in Eukaryota, Metazoa, Arthropoda, Insecta, Coleoptera, Cerambycidae. The record is from RefSeq and is a predicted model, not a curated record.
GCGUUAAAAUGCUUUUCUUGCCAGGGCCCCGGAUGUGAUACAGACAUCGAAACCUGGUCUACAGAGACAUGCCCAGCUUUCCAUCUAGUGCCAGAGUACCAAUUUGCUUGCAUAAAAUGGAGUUAUACAGACGAAACAACACAGACGAAGGUGGUGGAAAGGAUGUGCCUUGCUGUCGAGUUAAAAGACGGAAAACCAAACUACAACUGUGAAAAGAUCUUCGGUUAUCAAACUGAAUGUUCAGGGUGUCAAACUGACUUUUGUAAUUCUGCGAAAAGCAUCAGUUUCAGCUUUGUGGCACUUUGCGGGUUGUUUUGGCGAUUGCGGCGCCCAAGCUUUUGUAAAAUCGCCCCACCCCUUCUCUAGCAUGAUUCGUGGGAAAUAGAAUGAGUCCUGCAAGUCGUGUAUAUGUAGUGAUAACUAUAAAAUGAUUUUGUUAACUGUUUACUUUUAUUGUGUAAAUGUACCUAGUACGACGUUUUUUAUUGUAAUGCAACUUAAGGUAUAACCGUUUAUAAUUAAUAUUAAAUGUCAAAUUUCUUUGAUAA